ACGCACGCUGGCGGCGUGCUUAACCCCUGCAAGUCGCACGGAAAGGCCCUGCUUGCAGGGUGCUUGAGUGGCGAACGGGUGAGUAACACGUGGGUGAUCUGCCCCUUACUUUGGGAUAAGCCUGGGAAACUGGGUCUAAUACUGGAUAGGACCAUGCUGUAGGUGGUGUGGUGGAAAGAUUAGUUUCGGUAAGGGAUGAGCUCGCGGCCUAUCAGCUUGUUGGUGGGGUAAUGGCCUACCAAGGCGUCGACGGGUAGCCGGCCUGAGAGGGUGGACGGCCACAUUGGGACUGAGAUACGGCCCAGACUCCUACGGGAGGCAGCAGUGGGGAAUAUUGCACAAUGGGCGCAAGCCUGAUGCAGCGACGCCGCGUGGGGGAUGACGGCCUUCGGGUUGUAAACUCCUUUCAGCCAUGACGAAGCCCUUGUGGUGACGGUAGUGGUAGAAGAAGCACCGGCUAACUACGUG
This 468-nucleotide ribosomal RNA is filed under the name uncultured bacterium. RNAcentral describes it as "partial 16S ribosomal RNA". It matches the Rfam family "Bacterial small subunit ribosomal RNA", at positions 29 to 507 of the family's 1533-position model. The record is from RNAcentral.